AAAGAUCUAUUGAUGAGAGAUGAUAAACAAGAAUUGUAUCAACAUGAGAAUCUAUUACAUAGAUCAAAUAUAAAUGAAACUACCAUCAUCCAAGCGAGUUCAUCCCUAGCUUUACCAAAGAAUUCGCUCUCCAUGAAUUUGUGGCUCCUCUUGAUGAUUUUUUUGUAAUGCAGCCUUUUCUCCCUCAGAACGGCGAGCUCCUCCAAGUAUAUAGAUGGUUUUGGGGCUAAAAAUCCUAGGAAACACGACUUAGACACGUUUGCAUGCAUUUUUCCGACUUUACCCUCGAGCACCAACGUCAGCAUGAAGUUCGGGAGGCUCUCUAGAUCGCAUCUGAUCUCCAAAUUUUGCGUUCUUAUAGUCAUUAGAAAGUCCUGGAAGUCUAGUUUCCAACAAAAUUUGAAUCAGCUCAAUUGGACUUCUUUAGCUCCCGAAAUCAUCAAAAUACUACAC
This 453-nucleotide long non-coding RNA is filed under the name Phoenix dactylifera (date palm). RNAcentral describes it as "long non-coding RNA (PDAC_LNC015303)". The record is from RNAcentral. Lineage: Eukaryota; Viridiplantae; Streptophyta; Magnoliopsida; Arecales; Arecaceae.